This 426-nucleotide ribosomal RNA is filed under the name uncultured prokaryote. RNAcentral describes it as "bacterial SSU rRNA". It matches the Rfam family "Bacterial small subunit ribosomal RNA", at positions 355 to 796 of the family's 1533-position model. The record is from RNAcentral.
UAAGGAAUAUUGCGCAAUGGAGGCAACUCUGACGCAGCAACGCCGCGUGCGGGAAGAAGGGUUUCGGCUCGUAAACCGCUUUUCUGUGGGAAGAGCAAGGACGGUACCACAGGAAUAAGUCCCGGCUAACUACGUGCCAGCAGCCGCGGUAAAACGUAGGGGGCAAGCGUUAUCCGGAUUUACUGGGCGUAAAGCGCGUGCAGGCGGUCUGUUAAGUCGUGCGUGAAAGCUCCGAGGCUCAACCCGGAGAGGUCGUGCGAGACUGGCAGACUAGAGGGAGAUAGAGGCGAGUAGAAUUCCAGGUGUAGUGGUGAAAUGCGUAGAUAUCUGGAGGAAUACCAGUGGCGAAGGCGGCUCGCUGGGUCUCACCUGACGCUCAGACGCGAAAGCAUGGGUAGCGAACGGGAUUAGAUACCCCUGUAGUCC